This 903-nucleotide ribosomal RNA is filed under the name uncultured archaeon. RNAcentral's name for it is "bacterial SSU rRNA". It matches the Rfam family "Archaeal small subunit ribosomal RNA", at positions 46 to 950 of the family's 1478-position model. The record is from RNAcentral.
AAGCCAUGCGAGUCAAAUGUUCUUCGUGAACAUGGCGUACUGCUCAGUAACACGUGGAUAACCUGCCCUUUAGGACUGGCAUAACCCCGGGAAACUGGGGAUAAUUCCGGAUAGUUCAUGGUAGCUGGAAUGCUCCAUGAUCGAAAGCUAUUGCGCAUAAGGAUGGGUCUGCGGUCUAUCAGGUAGUAGUGGGUGUAAUGUACCUACUAGCCGACGACGGAUACGGGUUGUGGGAGCAAGAGCCCGGAGAUGGAUUCUGAGACAUGAAUCCAGGCCCUACGGGGCGCAGCAGGCGCGAAAACUAUACAAUGCGGGAAACCGCGAUAAGGGGACACCGAGUGCCAGCAUCUUAUGUUGGCUGUCCGCAUGUAUAAAUCACAUGUGUUAGCAAGGGCCGGGCAAGACCGGUGCCAGCCGCCGCGGUAACACCGGCGGUCCGAGUGGUGGCCACUAUUAUUGGGUCUAAAGGGUCCGUAGCCGGUUUGGUCAGUCUUCCGGGAAAUCUGACGGCUUAACCGUUAGGCUUUCGGGGGAUACUACCAGGCUUGGGACCGGGAGAGGUAAGAGGUACUACGGGGGUAGGAGUGAAAUCUUGUAAUCCUCGUGGGACUACCAGUGGCGAAGGCGUCUUACCAGAACGGGUCCGACGGUGAGGGACGAAAGCUGGGGGCACGAACCGGAUUAGAUACCCGGGUAGUCCCAGCCGUAAACUAUGCUCGCUAGGUGUCAGGGACGGUGCGACCGUUUCUGGUGCCGCAGGGAAGCCGUGAAGCGAGCCACCUGGGAAGUACGGUCGCAAGGCUGAAACUUAAAGGAAUUGGCGGGGAAGCACUACAACGGGUGGAGCCUGCGGUUUAAUUGGACUCAACGCCGGAAAACUCACCGGGGGCGACAGCAAUAUGU